UCUAGUUAUAGUUGGGGACAAUAUCUUCAUUUUAUUUAUUUAUUUUUAUGUGGUGCUGAGGAUCCAUCCCAGUACCUCACACAUGCUAGGCGAGUGCUCUACCACUGAGCCACAGCCCCAGCCCUUAAAUCCUAAUUUUCAUAUACAUAUAUCACUUUGUUUAUAAAGCACUUUCUCACAUACCUCUCUUGUUUUGCUGUUUUGCUUUUAUGUGGUGCUGAUAAUCAAACCUAUGGCCUUGCAAAUGCUAAGCACAUGAUUAAGUGAACUGCAUCCCCAGCCACAUACCUUUCUUGAUUCUCAUAAUAGCCCCGCAAAGAGAGUCUUUCUCCUGUUUUGUCAAUGAAGAAACAGACUCCUCAUUGAAGGGACUUGCCCAAAGUCACACCAUCUGCAAUGUAAAUUCCAAAUCCAGACCAGUUGUCCCUUUUCCCACCAUGCUUGGAAUGAAAGGGAAUCUAAAGCUAACUUUUGUCCAUGCUGGAUCUGAUCGAUGCUCUUCAAGAAGAAUUUGGCAGCAAAUUCUAAACCAGGUGACCACACUGUGGACUCAGUAUGCACUAUUCUCAGGGGGGUGAGAAUCUGUGGAUACUUGGCCUCUGGGGACAAUCCUCUGUCCUUACAGUUACCAUCUCCCAUCUUCACUUAGGCCUUUUCUGAAGUUGUUUCCAUAGGGGAGCUACCAUUAGGCUCAUGCGAGAGAGAACUCUGAAUUCUCUCCAUCCAUCAUAUAGUUCUCUCCCACUGUUUCUUUGCAAUAGUCCCCUUGCUACUCUUGAGGGAAAGAUAGUUUACUGUGCAACUGUAGCUCUCCCAUAGGAAAUGAAGAUGGCUGAACAAGUAGUGGUGUCUGGGGCUUGCAUAAGGAGC
This 870-nucleotide long non-coding RNA is filed under the name Marmota monax (woodchuck). Lineage: Eukaryota; Metazoa; Chordata; Mammalia; Rodentia; Sciuridae. The record is from RNAcentral.